RNAcentral lists this long non-coding RNA (652 nucleotides) under Marmota monax (woodchuck). The record is from RNAcentral. Lineage: Eukaryota; Metazoa; Chordata; Mammalia; Rodentia; Sciuridae.
CUGUGCUGCAGGCCCAGAGCUGUUCACCUCCCUCUUUCAUCUUCUUUCCCUACGUGCACUUGAGGUUCCCGAUCCCACUUUAAUUCUUCCACUAACAACCUUGGAGUAGGUUCGAUUCCCAUUCACAGAUGAGGAAUCCAAGACUUUGAACGUUUCUGUCCUGCAAGCUGGGAUUUUGAACCCAGGACGCUUGGGUGCAGGGACCCGUGCCUAGCGAUGACACCGCUGCUGCGUUCAGCUUGCCCAUCCUGCCCUGUCUUCACAGGGGACCACCGAUGGAUGGGCAGGCAGGGAUGCUGGAAGCUUCCAGGUGGAUCCAAAAGAUGUCACAGGCUCCCUUGCACACCUGCUCACUGAAGCCUCGCCAGGCGCUGGAAUCCAGGCACACAGCACAGGCCCUGAACUGUCUCCAGGUCUCCAACACUGAGUCACAUGGAUGGAGUCAAGGACAGGCCCAGGGUGUGGCCCCAGCAAGGCAAGGGUGGAGCCCUACCUUGAGUGGCGCAUGCCAUACUGGGGGACAGGGUAUAGGACCUUCCAACUCAGGAUUCAGGUGCACUUUUCCUCUUUGUUUUAUGACAGGUGCAUUUUUGUUUUGUCUUGCUUUUGCUUUUAUUUUCAACUGAUAUAUAAAAAAACCAUGUUUUUUUAG